RNAcentral lists this ribosomal RNA (253 nucleotides) under uncultured bacterium. RNAcentral's name for it is "partial 16S ribosomal RNA". It matches the Rfam family "Bacterial small subunit ribosomal RNA", at positions 524 to 776 of the family's 1533-position model. The record is from RNAcentral.
UACGAAGGGGACUAGCGUUGUUCGGAUUUACUGGGCGUAAAGCGCGCGUAGGCGGAUCGCUAAGUCAGGGGUGAAAUCCCCGGGCUCAACCCGGGAACUGCGUCCGAUACUGGAAGGCUUGAAUCCGGGAGAGGGAUGCGGAAUUCCAGGUGUAGCGGUGAAAUGCGUAGAUAUCUGGAGGAACACCGGUGGCGAAGGCGGCAUCCUGGACCGGUAUUGACGCUGAGGCGCGAAAGCCAGGGGAGCAAACGGG